UACGGAGGGUGCGAGCGUUGUCCGGAAUCACUGGGCGUAAAGGGCGCGUAGGCGGCCUGAUAAGUAGGGGGUGAAAUCUUGCGGCUUAACCGCAAGGCUGCCUUCUAAACUGUCGGGCUCGAGCACAGUAGAGGCAGGUGGAAUUCCCGGGGUAGCGGUGGAAUGCGUAGAGAUCGGGAAGAACAUCAGUGGCGAAGGCGGCCCGCUGGGCUGUUGCUGACGCUGAGGUGCGAAAGCGUGGGGAGCAAACAGG
RNAcentral lists this ribosomal RNA (253 nucleotides) under uncultured bacterium. RNAcentral describes it as "partial 16S ribosomal RNA". It matches the Rfam family "Bacterial small subunit ribosomal RNA", at positions 524 to 776 of the family's 1533-position model. The record is from RNAcentral.